This 847-nucleotide long non-coding RNA is filed under the name Cyanistes caeruleus (blue tit). RNAcentral describes it as "lncRNA (ENSCCEG00000011864.1)". The record is from RNAcentral. Lineage: Eukaryota; Metazoa; Chordata; Aves; Passeriformes; Paridae.
GCUGAUGAGCAUUUUAUUUUUUAUUAUUCAGGCCGUGUCCCUAACAACAAAGCAGCUUUUGAAUCGCGCGGAUUACACGUUUAAAAAAUAAAUAAUGACGAGCCAGUCAUCUGAACUGUCCUUCUGUACCAAAUAUAAGACUUGGUAUCACCCAUGAAAUCGGUGUCCUGCGGAAAAGUCUGAUGAAUGAGCAAUCCUUAUGUGUCAGGGGAGAAGAGUGGCAGUCACAAUGUCAGGACCUCAGUGGCAGGAUGCACCUCAGCACAGCAGGUUUUGGGGAAAGAAGAGGACACGUGGAACAAUUACGAUGAGAAAGGAGCAAGCUGCAGAUGGAGAAGAUACACGUAGCAGUCUAUCAGCCAAGCCUGCAAAGCCACUGCAAGGGAGCAAAGGAGCUACAGCCUGGGGAGAAAAAGAGGAUCAGGUCUGCAGCUUUCCUUCCUGCUGAGUUACAAACUCACUCCUGCUUUAUUCCUCCACUUGGCACUUCCCUGCCUUGGCUCAGAGCACGUAGGCUUCAUCCUCUUGAUGAUCAGCUGAGGAGCAGAUGGAGGAUCAGAGGAGCAGGAUGGCUGCUUUAUGAGGUGUACCCAUGGCAGCAUUCGUGGAAACAACCAACAAGUGACCACGAGCCAGGAUUUCAAAUGCUGCAAUACCCGAAGUUGGAAUGUAGGGGAAGUCAUAGUCAAAGUCAUAGAACCCAGGGAUCCUGCAGUUUUAAAUUUUUCUCAGCUUUCGUUUAAAGCAAAGUGUCUAAUGUUCAUGUUCUCAAACAAAAGCUUGGAAAUGGGAAGCCUUGAACAUCAAAGAAAAUAAAAGAAUCCAAAACUGAUGAUUUUUUUUAUUU